AUGACUUGGUACAGAGAGAGAGAGAGAGAGAAUGCUGCUUUAGGUUUCUUAGUAGUAAAAGGGAUGAUAUUUGAGAAGGGAGGGAUUUUCCUUCAUAGCUACCCUCUACUCACUAGCCUGAAAUACUGGAAAGAAGAUGAGGUUGUCAGUGUCACGUUCAAGAUGCAAAUAGUUGUCACAUGGGAGAGUCUUGGCAAGAGAGAAGUUUGUGCCAUCAGUUUGCAGUCCCCAUCCCUGCAUACUACAGAAGAGCUCUGGGAAGAGAAUAUCUACACCCAGGAGCAACUUUUCUCCUGGCUUGCCUCCCUGGUGAGUGUCAGUGACCCCCUUAGUACAGGUAAGAAUGCAAAGAAGCAGCGGGUAAUUGCUAGUCUGCUUGCAGGAACUGUGUUCCUCUAAAAGUAAUUCCCUGGAACUGUGAGAGAAAUCUUCCACAUACUAACUACUCACAGCAAUGCUCAGUGGCUCCCUUGCUGAAGUGCUUAGCUCUGUGCUAGUGGCAAGAACAUCAAGCGUGCUCUGUGCUUUGUUAAUCUGCAUUUCUGUGAUUUCUGUGAAAGAAGAAUGCUUUGUGGCUCUUUUCUUUGCCAAAAGCAGCUGGUACAGUGCAUGAGACUAAUGGCGCCAGG
RNAcentral lists this long non-coding RNA (629 nucleotides) under Numida meleagris (helmeted guineafowl). RNAcentral's name for it is "lncRNA (ENSNMEG00000019004.1)". The record is from RNAcentral. Lineage: Eukaryota; Metazoa; Chordata; Aves; Galliformes; Numididae.